This 287-nucleotide unclassified non-coding RNA is filed under the name uncultured fungus. RNAcentral describes it as "partial contains 5.8S rRNA, ITS2 and 28S rRNA". It matches the Rfam family "Eukaryotic large subunit ribosomal RNA", at positions 668 to 961 of the family's 3401-position model. Lineage: Eukaryota; Fungi. The record is from RNAcentral.
AAGGAGUCUAACAUGUAUGCGAGUAGGCGGGUGUAAAACCUUGCAGCCCAAAGGAAGUAAAAGGUGGGAUCCGUAAGGUGCACCAUCGACCGGUCAUGUUCCUCUGGAGAAAGAUCUGAGUUAGAGCAUAAAUGUUAGGACCCGAAAGAUGGUGAACUAUGCCUGAGUAGGGCGAAGCCAGGGGAAACUCUGGUGGAGGCUCGAAGCGAUUCUGACGUGCAAAUCGUUCGUCAAAUUUGGGUAUAGGGGCGAAAGACUAAUCGAACCAUCUAGUAGCUGGUUCCCUC